GUCAAAUAGGAUUUUUGUUGUUUCACCUGAUUCACCUGGGUGGAGCCUUUUUUUAUCUACUUCCUACCAAGUUUCUUGUACUAUGCAUCAGUGAAGUUGUGUCACAUUGGCAGUUGUAGGCAAGAAUGGAACCCCUGCAGAUAACGAGGGCCACCUGUAACUGCCAGCCCUUGCUUCUGGAAAGUUCCAGAUACAGAUCUUUCAAAAACCUCUGGAGUCUUGGAACCUAUACAACUCACAGAACGAUCACAGGGAGAAAGAAGACAAAAAUGAGUAAAAUUGUGUAUGUAUGAGGCCCUCCUAUCUGUCUCAAAUUUGGCAGGUCUGGUCCUUUUCAGAGUGUGUAGAGUGCUGGAAAAUAUCAUGCCUAUACAAUGGGGGAAACACAAACUAUACAGUGGAAAACAUCUAAAAGUACAUAGUUUUCAAUGUGGAGCUUAUAGGAUGUAUGCCUUUUUAUAUUGCUUCUAAAACAGGGACUAUCUAUCCCUGUUUCAGAUAUUUUUUGAAAUUUGUCAGGAAGGAAUAGUAGAAUGCCUGCAAAUGUCUUGCAAUAUAGGUGGAACAUUCUGAAG
Hemicordylus capensis (graceful crag lizard) is the source of this 575-nucleotide long non-coding RNA. RefSeq lists it as uncharacterized. The transcript is spliced from 3 exons. Lineage: Eukaryota; Metazoa; Chordata; Lepidosauria; Squamata; Cordylidae. The record is from RefSeq and is a predicted model, not a curated record.